UAGGGAAUAUUGGACAAUGGGGGAAACCCUGAUCCAGCCAUGCCGCGUGAGUGAUGAAGGCCCUAGGGUUGUAAAGCUCUUUCGGCGGGGAAGAUAAUGACGGUACCCGCAUAAGAAGCCCCGGCUAACUUCGUGCCAGCAGCCGUGGUAAUACGAAGGGGGCUAGCGUUGCUCGGAAUCACUGGGCGUAAAGCGCACGUAGGCGGACUCUUAAGUCGGGGGUGAAAUCCUGGAGCUCAACUCCAGAACUGCCUUCGAUACUGAGAGCCUUGAGUCCGGGAGAGGUGAGUGGAACUGCGAGUGUAGAGGUGAAAUUCGUAGAUAUUCGCAAGAACACCAGUGGCGAAGGCGGCUCACUGGCCGGGUACUGACGCUGAGGUGCGAAAGCGUGGGGAGCAAACA
RNAcentral lists this ribosomal RNA (402 nucleotides) under uncultured bacterium. RNAcentral describes it as "bacterial SSU rRNA". It matches the Rfam family "Bacterial small subunit ribosomal RNA", at positions 355 to 774 of the family's 1533-position model. The record is from RNAcentral.